GUACACUCCUGCGGGAGGCAGCAGUGGGGAAUAUUGAACAAUGGGCGCAAGCCUGAUCCAGCCAUGCCGCGUGAGUGAUGAAGGCCCUAGGGUUGUAAAGCUCUUUCACCGGUGAAGAUAAUGACGGUAACCGGAGAAGAAGCCCCGGCUAACUUCGUGCCAGCAGCCGCGGUAAUACGAAGGGGGCUAGCGUUGUUCGGAUUUACUGGGCGUAAAGCGCACGUAGGCGGACUAUUAAGUCAGGGGUGAAAUCCCGGGGCUCAACCCCGGAACUGCCUUUGAUACUGGUAGUCUUGAGUUCGAGAGAGGUGAGUGGAAUUCCGAGUGUAGAGGUGAAAUUCGUAGAUAUUCGGAGGAACACCAGUGGCGAAGGCGGCUCACUGGCUCGAUACUGACGCUGAGGUGCGAAAGCGUGGGGAGCAAACAGGAUUAGAAACCCUUGUAGUCCC
RNAcentral lists this ribosomal RNA (449 nucleotides) under uncultured organism. RNAcentral's name for it is "partial 16S ribosomal RNA". It matches the Rfam family "Bacterial small subunit ribosomal RNA", at positions 331 to 797 of the family's 1533-position model. The record is from RNAcentral.